ACUCUCGGAAGGGCUCGGCCACCCGGAGCCUCGUCACGAGUCUUACCCAGGGUUCGGAGCGGGCCUGCAAGAAGGGGCAGGCCAGGCUGGGGCUGCAAGGCAGGGUCUUCCCUUGGAGAAGGGACCUGACUCUAUUAUUAAGAGAACGAAAGAGGCACUUGCCCUACAGGUGUUGGCUGCGUGGCCUUGAAAAGCUUUGUUCCAGUUUCCUUAUCUGUGAAACACGAAUGCCAACCACACUGACCUCAGGGAAACGUUGCGGAAGCCCAGAGGUAAGGGACUCAGCACAGUGCAUAGCCUGAAGUAAAUGCUGAGUCAAUGUUAGCUCUCCCACCUACAGCAUCCUCCGAGGCUCGGUCCCCUCUGCCCACAGAUCCCUGUCAUCACUGCAGAACGGGCUGCACUUGGCUGCUGGCAGCCUGAGACCCCUGCCCAACACCCACCGCCGGCCUGGCAGACUGCUCCAGAAGGCAGGAGCCGCGUGGGAACAGGCAGGAUAUUUUUAGGGCCAGGAAGAGGCAGAAAUUUCAGACUCUGGGUGUGAGACCACGUCCACUGCUGCCCAGGGACCAUGCUCGUCACAGCCCGAGACCACGUCCACCGCAGCCCAGGGACCACGCCCAGAACCGCCCCUGACCACGUCCGCCGCAGCCCGGGGACCACGCCCGCCGCAGCCCGGGGCCACGCCCACCACAGCCCCGGACCACCAUCAUCGCAGCCCUGGGACCACGCCCUCCAUAGCCCAAGGCCACGCCCAUCACAGCCAAAGACCACGCCCAGAACAGCCCCGGACCACGCCCGCCGCAGCCCGGAACCGCGUCCUCCUCUGAGAGCCUGUUACGCAGCUGCCAGGAGCAGCAGCGCCUGCGCCUUUUUGGCCGAUUACGGUACAGAAACUAAAGGUGGUUCUGAGAAAGCCCAUCACCCCUUCCAGAGAAACCGCGAUGCCAUGGGGCGGACCCCGCCUCCCUGCCCCAGCUGCCCUGGCCUGCACUCCCUAGGGGCCCCUUGUACUUUACAGAUGCUCUGACCGGUCUAAUCGGCCCCAGGCCGGGAGAGGCAGCAGAGCCAUUCGCAGGCCACGCUCUCUGCGCGGGUGCCCUGUGUGCUGCAGGGCUGAGGGCCAAGGCCGAGCCUCUCUCUGCUGUCCAGCCCAGCACAACGACCCUCGCCGGCCUUUGGGGUCUUAGAAUGCAGAUUCCCUGGGAGAGGGAAACUCGUUAAAUGACAAUCCCUCAGUAAAAAUGUGGUUGUGAGCUAAAUCCUUAUAGCCGGUGACGGGGUGACAAGCAGCAACUUCAUGGAAUCGGAAAGCGCGAAACUCCCAAGGUGAAAAAGCCGCUGGGAUGAUACAGAGCCUGCCUCCUGCUGAGAAUCAUCUUAGGAAUUAAAUAGCCCAUACAACAAUCUCAGAGCACCGAGCGGGUGCUGCCCCUAAGGGAACAUCAGUUUGGUCUCACUUGCCGAGGUUCCCUAUCCAGGCUGCCCUCCUGGGAAAAUGCAGUCCGGGGCCCUAGGGAGUGCAGCCCAGGGCGCGGGGACAGGGAGGCGGGGUCCGCCCUAUGGCAUCGCGGUUUCUCCGAAAGGGAAGAUGGGCUUUCUCAGAACCACCCUUAGUUUCUACACUGUAAUCAACCCCAGAUGUGGGGUCACCCAGUGCCAGCUCUGGGGUCACAGAGCUGGCCUCCCUGGUUAGGACCCUGCAGCCUUUAACUCCUUUGCCCCGUUCCUGUAAUCAUUAUGGGUCAGGACGGGCCUGCUGGCCUUGGGUGCAGACGCGGGGUGGGUGUGCAGCACAGGCUAGUGAAUCUGAACAUAACUUUGGAAGUUGAAUCUCAGCCAUCCGUGGCCCUUCAAGAGCCUGGGGAUGCUGGAGUGUCCCUGCCCUCUAGGAAGGUGGAGGUAAACUGAGGCUGUAGGCGUGCCUAAUGCAAACAUGUUUAAACCACAGAAUGGACAUGCUCCUGGGUCCUCCGGCUGAGAUGAGGUAACAGUGACCACCCACAGCCUCAUCGUGGAGCACCUUCUGUGCAGGCACUGAGCACACUCACAGAAAUGACAUGCUGCUCUGUGGGAAACUGAAGCCCAGGGAGGUUAAGUGCCCUGCCUAAGGUCACCUUUUGAGAGAGUUCAGUGUUAGUAAGAAGCCAUCUUUUGGCGGGGAGCGGUGGCUCACGCCUGUAAUCCCAGCACUUUGCACUUUGGGAGGCCGAGACAGGCAGAUCACCUGAGGUCAGGAGUUUGAAACCAGCCUGAUCAACAUGGAGAAACCCUGUCUCUACUAAAAAUACAAAAAUUAGCUGGGCGUGGUGGCACAUGCCUGUAAUCCCAGCUACUCAGGAGGCUGAGGCAGGAGAAUCUCUUGAACCCAGGAGGCGAAGGUUGCAGUGAGCCAAGAUCACACCAUUGCACUCCAGUCUGGGCAAGAAGAGCAAAACUCCAUAAAAAAAAAAAAAAAAAAAAAAAAAAAGCUCUCUUUCCUGAGACAUGCAGACCCUGUUGCUAUGGCCCCCAAUGGUGGCAGCAGGACAGGAGUUACUCACCGUGGUGUCAGGUCAAGGCUCGGGGAGUCAGAGGGUGGGCAGUGGGCACUGGCAGAGGUGACUGAGACUCCCAGCUGGGCCUCCCAUCACACAGCAGCUCCCAAAGGCAGCUGGCAGCCAGGUUGAAAAGGAUUAUCUAAACAGGGGUUCUUGGUUUCCUGGCAGCAAUGCAAUGUCCCUCAGCAACUGGCCAUGUCACCUGACCUAGCUGCAGGAGCAGAGAAAAUCUCCAGCCCCCCCGCCCCCGGGCCCUCAUCAUUGCACCUGGGUACAUGCAUGUGUGGCAGAGGUAAUACACAAAGAACUGACGUGGCAAAUUCUGGGUACCAUUUUACAUUUCCUUUCAUCCUCCAGAACCCUGAUGAGGAUCAGGAAAUUGACAUGCAUAUGAGGCCAAUUAAUUUUCCCAAGGCCACCUAGCAAAUAAGUGGCAGAGAAUAGGCAUGUCUCACUCCAAAUCCUGUGUUAUUUCCAUCCUCGCUCCAUCUGUUCCCUGGAUGAUCUUUCUACCUCUACCUUCCUGGCUGGCAUUGGUACUGGACUCUUCAUCAUUAUCAUAGUCUCCAUCAAUAUCAGUCAACAUAUCUUUAUUAUCUUCAUGUCUUCAUCACUAUUACCAUCACCCUCACCCUUAUCUCAUCAUCAUCACCAUCACCAUCAUCACAUUACCACCAUCACCAUCACCAUUGUCAUGAUCUGUUUAAUGCUACUAUAACAGAAUACCUGAGACUGGGUAAUUUAUAAAAAACAGAGAUUUAUUUCUUACAGUUUUUGAGGCUGUGAAGUUCAAGUUCAAGGUGCCAGUGUCUUGUGAGGGUCUUCUUGCUCGUCAUGCCAUGAUGGAAGGUGGAAGGGCAAGACAGCACAUGUGAGAAAGAGAAGGGAAGGAGGCCAAACUCAUCCUUUUAUCAAGAACCCACUCCCAAGAUAACUAACCCACUUUCACUUCCAUUAUAACACCAUUAAUUCAUUCAUGAAGAAAGAGCCCCCAUUACCUAAUCACCACUUAGAGGUCUCACCUCUCAACACUGUUGCAUUAGGGAUUAAGUUUCCAAUACAUGAACUUUAAGAAACACGUCCAAACCGUAGCAGCCAUAUCAUCACCACCACUUUUGUUAUUACCACCAUCAUUAUCAUCACUAUCUUCAUCAGCACCAUCCAUCACUAUUAUCAUCAUCACUAUCAUCAGCACCAUCAUCACUGUCAACAUCAUCAUCAUCAUCACUAUCAUUAGCACUUCAUUACCAUCAUUAUCAUCAACACCAUCAUCACUAUCAUCAGCACCAUCACCACCAUCAUUAUCAUCAUCACCAUCACUAUCAUCAACUCCAUCAUCACUGUCAGCACCAUCAUCACCAUCAUUACAUCACUAUCAUCAGCACCAUCAUCACUACCAUCAUCACCAUCAUCAUCCUCCUCUUCACCAUUAUCAUCACCACCAUCAUAUCAUGUUGUGAUGGUGAUUAUCCCAUAUUAAAUCAAACUCCCCACUGAUUUCUCAUCACUCUUAAGAUAGAUAAAAACCAAAAUCUUGGUCUUAAUGCACAAGCCCUACAGCAGCCCAUCUGUGUUAGCACAUUCUUACAUUGCCAUGAAGAAAUACCUGAGGCUGGGUAAUUUAUAAAGAAAAUAGUUUCAUUUUGGCUCACAGUUCUGCAGGCUGUACAGGAAGUGUGGUACCAGUGUCCUCUUCUGGUGAGGGCCUCAGGAUGCUUACAGUCAUGGUGGAAGGCAAAGGGGGAGAAGGCAUGUCACAUGGCGAGAGUGGAAGCAAGGUGUGGGGGGAGGUCCUAGACUUUAAAACAACCAGAUCUCACAUGAACUAACUGAGUGAGAGCUCACUUACCACCAAAAGGAUGGUGCCAAAUCAUGGGAUCUGCCCCAGGACCCAAUUACCUCCCACCAGGCCCCACCUUCAACAUUCAGAAUCACAUUUCACCAUGAGAUUUGGAUGGGACAAACAUCCAAACUAUAUCACUAUCCCUUGUCCCUCCCACAUCAAUCCUCUGUGCUCCAGCUCUCUUGCACCCCUUCUACUCGUUAAAGAAUGCACAACCUUUGUUAUCUGGGGACAUUGCUACCCUCUUCGCACAUUUCACUUCUGCUCAGCCAGAUCUCAGUUUGAAUGACUCUUCUGGAAAAUGUCUCCUGAUGCUUAGAAUGGACCUCAGCUCCCUGCUUUAUACAGGCAUACCUCAGAGAUAGUGCAGGUUUGGUUCCAUACCAGCACAAUAAAGUGAAUAUCACAAGAAAGCAAGUCACAUGAAUUUUAGUUUCUCAGUCCAUGUAAAAGUUAUGUUUACACUCAACCCAAAUGUCCAUCAAUGAUAGACUGGAUUAAGAAAAUGUGGCGCAUAUACACCAUGGAAUACUAUGCAGCCAUAAAAAAGGAUGAGUUCAUGUCCUUUGUAGGGACAUGGAUGAAGCUGGAAACCAUCAUUCUGAGCAAAUUAUCGCAAGGACAGAAAACCAAACACCGCAUGUUCUCACUCAUAGGUGGGAAUUGAACAAUGAGAACA
This 5062-nucleotide long non-coding RNA is filed under the name Homo sapiens (human). RNAcentral's name for it is "non-protein coding lnc-CFC1-2:3". Lineage: Eukaryota; Metazoa; Chordata; Mammalia; Primates; Hominidae. The record is from RNAcentral.